GAUACACUCACCUCCUUCCUCCACCUCUCACCCACACAACUCUACCCAAGAUCUCACAGGAAGCUGUUAAGAGCCCAGGCUCAGGGAGUUAGCAGCAGCAGCAGCUGUCACAACGAGUCCUCGAGAGGGAACCCUUACCUGCUGCCUGCUGCCCUUGAAAUACACUGGAACUACACAGACUGCCCGGUCUGGACACUGUUAAAAAUGGGAACAGGGUCUCUGUGCUGGCUUGACACUCAACUUAAGCUAGAUCUGAGGAAUGGGAACCUCAACUGAGAAAAUGCCUCUAUCAGGUUGGCCUGUGGGGCAUUUUCUUGGCAGAUGACUGAUAGAGCCCAGCCCACUGGAGGUGGCACCAAGCCUUGUCAGGUGGUUGUGGGGUGUAAGGAAGUUGGUAUUGGGGUAUAUAAGAAGGCAAACCAAAUGAGCCAGGACUUACAAACAGAUAAGCAGUGGUUCUCAACGGUCUCUGCUUCUAUGUCUGCCUCUAGGAGACUCCUGCUUUGAGUUCCUGCCCUGACUCCCUUAUUGAGGGACUAGAUACUGUAAGGUGAAACAAACCCUAUCCUACCCAGGACGCUUUUGUUAAUGGUGUUUAUCACUGCAGUGGAAACCUGACUAAGGCAGUAUGCUACUCCUAAAACGUCAGGGCAGUGGCUUUCAACCCUAAAUUCACCUCAGAACCCCUGGGAUGCUUCCACCACUUCCAGUGCUGAAACAGAGUUGCAGACAGACAGACUCUGUCCUAGGCAGGGCUUAGGCGCCUGGGGUUUUAAAGUAUCACAGAUGGCUUCAAACACAGCCAAUCCUGGAAGCAAGUAAUCAACUUACCAGCUCUACCCAGCUGGCUGAGAUGGCUUAGUAAGUGUGAGCACCUCUGCCACCAAUGUGAGGCUCUGAGUGUGAUUCCAGAACCCACCCGGCAGAAAGAGAAUCGACCCCUCAGGUUAUCGUCUGACCUACACACGUGUGACCUCACACUCAUACCCACGCACACUGGAAAUUAAACAAGUAUUAAAAAAUUAAAUUUCUUUUUAUUAAAAAGAAGUCCUAGCCAGAGAGGACCCAUCUGUCACUAAGAAUGACCAGACCACCCCCUGUUCUAAUCUUUUUUUUUUUUUUUUCAAGACAGGAUUUCUCUGUAGCCCUGGCUGUCCUGGAACUCACUCUGUAGACCAGGCUGGCCUCAAACUCAGAAAUUCACCUGCCUCUGCCUCCCGAGUGCUGGGAUUAAAGGUGUGCGCCACCACGCCCGGCUCCCCUGUUCUAAUCUUAAGUACUGUAUGAGGAGCAUUCUUUUCAAGUCUAGACCUUAAAGUCCCUGACUUAUUACAGUGAGAAGAAAGACUAUGAGGCAAAUCAUUUAAUCAUUUAAAGGGAAAGAGAAACAAAAACCUUGACUCAACAUCAAAAAUUUCAAAACGGAAGUAUUAACUAUCUUUUAAGAUAUCUUUCAAAGAAAAUACCUUUAAAAUAGCAAGAAUCAUAAUGAUACACUAGAAGGUAAUGAGGUGGCCCUGUACAAUUAUGAGAAAAAUGUUUUGCCUCUAGAAUUCUUUGUACAAACUAAGUAGGACUUUAAGGGCACUGCAGACAAGUAGACAUCUUAAAUACUUUACCAUCUAUAUCCCAGACACAAAGAUCAUUUUUAAGUAGUAGCUCCAGAAAACUGAAGAGAU
RNAcentral lists this long non-coding RNA (1679 nucleotides) under Mus musculus (house mouse). RNAcentral's name for it is "long non-coding RNA chr11:121655571-121657250". The record is from RNAcentral. Lineage: Eukaryota; Metazoa; Chordata; Mammalia; Rodentia; Muridae.